CCAAAGAUCUCUGAGAAAUGGUUUCGACGAAUUCUGGGAAGGUCAGACAUUUCUUCACAGCCGCCGCCGGCGUUCUCACCGCUGUUAUCGCGUUUCUCCGCUCUCGAAAUGGUUCGUCCCUCUUCACGGUCCUCUCUUCUUGUCGUUUCCUCCUCGGAAGCUGCUCCAUUCGGCGACGCCACUGUAUUUGCGUGGAAACGGCGUCGUCUUGAUGAAUAUCGAGGCCUUAAACCUGCAAUUGCAUCGAAUUCGGAGCAGUACGAAGUUUCAGAGACAGCUAGGAUCCGGGUCGGUGUCGGUGGUGGAGCCGGACGCGGUGAAUGUGGUUCGCGUCGAGUCAAAUGAGGAAGAUAGAGGCAGAGGAAGUGGCGGGAUUUUGGGAAGUUUCGUAAAGCUGCCGAAUUCGAUAUCAAUGGGACGACUAAUCUCCGGUCCAGUGGUUUCAUGUUAGAUGGGUACAUGGCCAGGAAGAUGAAGACCAGUUCAGGGGUUGGUUCAUACUUUGAAGUUUGAUCCUCUCCCACAAGACAAGGGAAAUCGCAAAGCAUCUUUCGCUUCCACCGGUUAAACUGCAUUGUAGUAUGCUCGCAGAGGACGUCAUCAAGGCAGCGAUGAAAGACUACAAGGAGAAGCGUGCCCAAUCAAUCGAAGGGCGGUGCAAGCGGCAAAGCCUCGGCUGAGGCUCCUUGAUUCCCACUACUAAUGCAGAUGACGGCAGGAAAUACUUGAGAACUCCUGUUCAUAAUACGCCCGGCAGAAUACAUGAAGAGGAGAUCAAUGCCCUAUUUUCUAAGUGAUAUUUACUAGGUUUCAAAGUUGUAGCAGGAAAAAAAAGUUACAUUCAUAGUUAAUGUAAAAUAUCGGUGGUGUUUUGGCAAGUUCAGGAACAAUCCACAAUCUCAUUCUGAGUUCUCUCACAAGAUUAAAGACAGAUUGACAGUCUGUUCAAGUU
Long non-coding RNA from Tarenaya hassleriana, 952 nucleotides. RefSeq lists it as uncharacterized. The record is from RefSeq and is a predicted model, not a curated record. NCBI's taxonomy places the organism in Eukaryota, Viridiplantae, Streptophyta, Magnoliopsida, Brassicales, Cleomaceae. The transcript is spliced from 3 exons.